RNAcentral lists this ribosomal RNA (486 nucleotides) under uncultured bacterium. RNAcentral's name for it is "bacterial SSU rRNA". It matches the Rfam family "Bacterial small subunit ribosomal RNA", at positions 8 to 518 of the family's 1533-position model. The record is from RNAcentral.
AGAGUUUGAUUCUGGCUCAGAUUGAACGCUGGCGGCAGGCCUAAUACAUGCAAGUCGAACGGUAACAUAGGAAAAGCUUGCUUUCCUGAUGACGAGUGGCGGACGGGUGAGUAAAGUUUGGGAAGCUACCUGAUAGAGGGGGACAACAGUUGGAAACGACUGCUAAUACCGCAUACAGCCUGAGGGUGAAAGCAGCAAUGCGCUAUCAGAUGCGCCCAAAUGGGAUUAGCUAGUAGGUGAGGUAAAGGCUCACCUAGGCGACGAUCUCUAGCUGGUCUGAGAGGAUGAUCAGCCACAUUGGGACUGAGACACGGCCCAGACUCCUACGGGAGGCAGCAGUAGGGAAUAUUGCACAAUGGAGGAAACUCUGAUGCCAGCCAUGCCGCGUGUGUGAAGAAGGCCUUCGGGUUGUAAAGCACUUUCGGAGGGGAGGAGAAUGACGUUACCCUCAGAAGAAGCACCGGCUAACUCCGUGCCAGCCGCAGC